Molecule: non-coding RNA, 69 nt
Organism: Podarcis lilfordi (Lilford's wall lizard)
Lineage: Eukaryota; Metazoa; Chordata; Lepidosauria; Squamata; Lacertidae
Source: the annotation of a GenBank genome assembly
GUGUUGCUCAUGGGUAGAGCAUCUGCUUGGCAUGCAGAAGGUUCCAGGUUCAACCCCCAGCAUCUCCCA